This 253-nucleotide ribosomal RNA is filed under the name uncultured bacterium. RNAcentral describes it as "partial 16S ribosomal RNA". It matches the Rfam family "Bacterial small subunit ribosomal RNA", at positions 524 to 776 of the family's 1533-position model. The record is from RNAcentral.
UACGGAGGGAGCGAGCGUUGUUCGGAAUUACUGGGCGUAAAGCGUAUGUAGGCGGCUUCGUAAGACAGGUGUGAAAUCCCAGGGCUUAACCUUGGAACUGCACUUGUGACUGCGAGGCUUGAGGAUCGGAGAGGUUGGCGGAAUUCCAAGUGUAGAGGUGAAAUUCGCAGAUAUUUGGAGGAACACCGAUGGCGUAAGCAGCCAACUGGACGAUUACUGACGCUGAGAUACGAAAGCGUGGGGAGCAAACAGG